CUAUAAUGCAGUCGAGCGAAUCUAGAGAGGAGCUUGCUCCCAAAGAUUAGCGGCGGACGGGUGAGUAACACGUGGGUAACCUGCCUGUAAGAUUGGGAUAACUCCGGGAAACCGGAGCUAAUACCGGAUAACAUUUUGAACCGCAUGGUUCAAAAUUGAAAGACGGCUUCUGCUGUCCCUUUCCGAUGGACCCCCGGCGCAUUAACUAAUUGGGGAAGUAACGGCUCCCCCAGGGAACCAUGCCUAACCCAACUGAAAAGGUGAUCCGCCCCCCUGGGACUGAAACCCGGCCCAAAAUCCUACCGGAAGCAACAAUAAGGAAUCCUCCCCAAUGGACCAAAGUCUGAAGGAACAACCCCCCGUGGACGAUGAAGGGCUUCCGGUCCUAAAGUUCUGGUGGUAAGGAAAAACCAGUACCCAAAUAACUGGUGGUACCUUGGCGGUACCUAACCCGAAAGCCCCGGCUAACUACCUGCCCGCAGCCCCGGUAAUACGUAAGUGGCAAGCGUUGUCCCAGAUUAUUGGGGGUUAAGCGCCCCCAGCGUUUCUUAAUCUGAUGGGAAGCCCCC
Molecule: ribosomal RNA, 569 nt
Filed under: Bacillus sp. SCW-5
Lineage: Bacteria; Bacillati; Bacillota; Bacilli; Caryophanales; Bacillaceae
Description: bacterial SSU rRNA
Rfam family: Bacterial small subunit ribosomal RNA
Source: RNAcentral